RNAcentral lists this ribosomal RNA (909 nucleotides) under uncultured bacterium. RNAcentral's name for it is "bacterial SSU rRNA". It matches the Rfam family "Bacterial small subunit ribosomal RNA", at positions 60 to 963 of the family's 1533-position model. The record is from RNAcentral.
AGUCGAGCGGAGAUGAGGUGCUUGCACCUUAUCUUAGCGGCGGACGGGUGAGUAAUGCUUAGGAAUCUGCCUAUUAGUGGGGGACAACAUUCCGAAAGGAAUGCUAAUACCGCAUACGUCCUACGGGAGAAAGCAGGGGAUCUUCGGACCUUGCGCUAAUAGAUGAGCCUAAGUCGGAUUAGCUAGUUGGUGGGGUAAAGGCCUACCAAGGCGACGAUCUGUAGCGGGUCUGAGAGGAUGAUCCGCCACACUGGGACUGAGACACGGCCCAGACUCCUACGGGAGGCAGCAGUGGGGAAUAUUGGACAAUGGGGGGAACCCUGAUCCAGCCAUGCCGCGUGUGUGAAGAAGGCCUUAUGGUUGUAAAGCACUUUAAGCGAGGAGGAGGCUACUGAGACUAAUACUCUUGGAUAGUGGACGUUACUCGCAGAAUAAGCACCGGCUAACUCUGUGCCAGCAGCCGCGGUAAUACAGAGGGUGCGAGCGUUAAUCGGAUUUACUGGGCGUAAAGCGUGCGUAGGCGGCUUUUUAAGUCGGAUGUGAAAUCCCCGAGCUUAACUUGGGAAUUGCAUUCGAUACUGGGAAGCUAGAGUAUGGGAGAGGAUGGUAGAAUUCCAGGUGUAGCGGUGAAAUGCGUAGAGAUCUGGAGGAAUACCGAUGGCGAAGGCAGCCAUCUGGCCUAAUACUGACGCUGAGGUACGAAAGCAUGGGGAGCAAACAGGAUUAAAUACCCUGGUAGUCCAUGCCGUAAACGAUGUCUACUAGCCGUUGGGGCCUUUGAGGCUUUAGUGGCGCAGCUAACGCGAUAAGUAGACCGCCUGGGGAGUACGGUCGCAAGACUAAAACUCAAAUGAAUUGACGGGGGCCCGCACAAGCGGUGGAGCAUGUGGUUUAAUUCGAUGCAACGCG